AACGAACGCUGGCGGCAUGCCUAACACAUGCAAGUCGAACGAGACCUUCGGGUCUAGUGGCGCACGGGUGCGUAACGCGUGGGAACCUGCCCUUAGGUUCGGAAUAACUCCCCGAAAGGGGUGCUAAUACCGGAUAAUGUCUUCGGACCAAAGAUUUAUCGCCUUUGGAUGGGCCCGCGUUGGAUUAGCUAGUUGGUAGGGUAAAAGCCUACCAAGGCGACGAUCCAUAGCUGGUCUGAGAGGAUGAUCAGCCACACUGGGACUGAGACACGGCCCAGACUCCUACGGAAGGGAGCAGUGGGGAAUAUUGGACAAUGGGCGAAGGCCUGAUCCAGCAAUGCCGCGUGAGUGAUGAAGGCCUUGGGGUUGUAAAGCUCUUUUACCCGGGAUGAUAAUGACGGUACCGGGAGAAUAAGCUCCGGCUAACUCCGUG
Molecule: ribosomal RNA, 433 nt
Filed under: uncultured bacterium
Lineage: Bacteria
Description: partial 16S ribosomal RNA
Rfam family: Bacterial small subunit ribosomal RNA
Source: RNAcentral